GACGAACGCUGGCGGCGUGCUUAACACAUGCAAGUCGAACGGCAAGGCCCUGCUUGCAGGGUCCUCGAGUGGCGAACUGGUGAGUAACACGUGGGUGAUCUGCCCUGCACUUCUGGAUAAGCCUGGGCAACUGGGUCUAAUACCGGAUAGGAGCCAUUUUUAGUGUGAUGGUUGGAAAGUUUUUUCGGUGUAGGAUGAGCUCGCGGCCUAUCAGCUUGUUGGUGGGGUAAUGGCCUACCAAGGCGGCGACGGGUAGCCGGCCUGAGAGGGUGGACGGCCACAUUGGGACUGAGGUACGGCCCAGACUCCUACGGGAGGAAGCAGUGGGGAAUAUUGCACAAUGGGCGCAAGCCUGAUGCAGCGAGGCCGCGUGGGGGAUGACGGCCUUCGGGUUGUAAACUCCUUUCGCUAGGGACGAAGCUUUUUGUGACGGUACCUAGAUAAGAAGCACCGGCUAACUACGUG
RNAcentral lists this ribosomal RNA (465 nucleotides) under uncultured bacterium. Its description in RNAcentral is "partial 16S ribosomal RNA". It matches the Rfam family "Bacterial small subunit ribosomal RNA", at positions 28 to 507 of the family's 1533-position model. The record is from RNAcentral.